This 492-nucleotide ribosomal RNA is filed under the name uncultured bacterium. Its description in RNAcentral is "partial 16S ribosomal RNA". It matches the Rfam family "Bacterial small subunit ribosomal RNA", at positions 29 to 507 of the family's 1533-position model. The record is from RNAcentral.
AGUGAACGCUGGCGGUAGGCCUAACACAUGCAAGUCGAACGGCAGCACAGUAAGAGCUUGCUCUUACGGGUGGCGAGUGGCGGACGGGUGAGGAAUACAUCGGAAUCUACUUUUUCGUGGGGGAUAACGUAGGUAAACUUACGCUAAUACCGCAUACGACCUACGGGUGAAAGCAGGGGAUCUUCGGACCUUGCGCGAUUGAAUGAGCCGAUGUCGGAUUAGCUAGUUGGCGGGGUAAAGGCCCACCAAGGCGACGAUCCGUAGCUGGUCUGAGAGGAUGAUAAGCCACACUGGAACGGAGACACGGUCAAGACGCCUACGGGAGGCAGCAGUGGGGAAUAUUGGACAAUGGGCGCAAGCCUGAUCCAGCCAUACCGCGUGGGUGAAGAAGGCCUUCGGGUUGUAAAGCCCUUUUGUUGGGAAAGAAAAGCAGCAGGUUAAUACCACGCUGUUCUGACGGUACCCAAAGAAUAAGCACCGGCUAACUUCGUG